Molecule: ribosomal RNA, 1343 nt
Filed under: uncultured bacterium
Lineage: Bacteria
Description: 16S ribosomal RNA
Rfam family: Bacterial small subunit ribosomal RNA
Source: RNAcentral
GACGAACGCUGUCGGCGUGCUUAACACAUGCAAGUCGAACGGAAAGGCCCUGCUUUUGUGGGGUGCUCGAGUGGCGAACGGGUGAGUAACACGUGAGUAACCUGCCCUUGACUUUGGGAUAACUUCAGGAAACUGGGGCUAAUACCGGAUAGGAGCUCCUGCUGCAUGGUGGGGGUUGGAAAGUUUCGGCGGUUGGGGAUGGACUCGCGGCUUAUCAGCUUGUUGGUGGGGUAGUGGCUUACCAAGGCUUUGACGGGUAGCCGGCCUGAGAGGGUGACCGGCCACAUUGGGACUGAGAUACGGCCCAGACUCCUACGGGAGGCAGCAGUGGGGAAUAUUGCACAAUGGGCGGAAGCCUGAUGCAGCAACGCCGCGUGCGGGAUGACGGCCUUCGGGUUGUAAACCGCUUUCGCCUGUGACGAAGCGUGAGUGACGGUAAUGGGUAAAGAAGCACCGGCUAACUACGUGCCAGCAGCCGCGGUGAUACGUAGGGUGCGAGCGUUGUCCGGAUUUAUUGGGCGUAAAGGGCUCGUAGGUGGUUGAUCGCGUCGGAAGUGUAAUCUUGGGGCUUAACCCUGAGCGUGCUUUCGAUACGGGUUGACUUGAGGAAGGUAGGGGAGAAUGGAAUUCCUGGUGGAGCGGUGGAAUGCGCAGAUAUCAGGAGGAACACCAGUGGCGAAGGCGGUUCUCUGGGCCUUUCCUGACGCUGAGGAGCGAAAGCGUGGGGAGCGAACAGGCUUAGAUACCCUGGUAGUCCACGCUGUAAACGGUGGGUACUAGGUGUGGGGUCCAUUCCACGGGUUCCGUGCCGUAGUUAACGCUUUAAGUACCCCGCCUGGGGAGUACGGCCGCAAGGCUAAAACUCAAAGGAAUUGACGGGGCCCCGCACAAGCGGCGGAGCAUGCGGAUUAAUUCGAUGCAACGCGUAGAACCUUACCUGGGUUUGACAUGGAUCGGGAGUGCUCAGAGAUGGGUGUGCCUCUUUUGGGGUCGGUUCACAGGUGGUGCAUGGCUGUCGUCAGCUCGUGUCGUGAGAUGUUGGGUUUAGUCCCGCAACGAGCGCAACCCUUGUUCACUGUUGCCAGCACGUUAUGGUGGGGACUCAGUGGAGACCGCCGGGGUCAACUCGGAGGAAGGUGGGGAUGACGUCAAGUCAUCAUGCCCCUUAUGUCCAGGGCUUCACGCAUGCUACAAUGGCUGGUACAGAGAGUGGCGAGCCUGUGAGGGUGAGCGAAUCUCGGAAAGCCGGUCUCAGUUCGGAUUGGGGUCUGCAACUCGACCUCAUGAAGUCGGAGUCGCUAGUAAUCGCAGAUCAGCAACGCUGCGGUGAAUACGUUCCCGGG